AUUGAACGCUGGCGGCAUGCCUUACACAUGCAAGUCGAACGGUAACAGGUUAAGCUGACGAGUGGCGAACGGGUGAGUAAUGUAUCGGAACGUGCCCAGUCGUGGGGGAUAACUGCUCGAAAGAGCAGCUAAUACCGCAUACGACCUGAGGGUGAAAGCGGGGGAUCGCAAGACCUCGCGCGAUUGGAGCGGCCGAUAUUAGAUUAGGUAGUUGGUGAGGUAAAGGCUCACCAAGCCGACGAUCUGUAGCUGGUCUGAGAGGACGACCAGCCACACUGGGACUGAGACACGGCCCAGACUCCUACGGGAGGCAGCAGUGGGGAAUUUUAGACAAUGGGCGCAAGCCUGAUCCAGCCAUGCCGCGUGCGGGAAGAAGGCCUUCGGGUUGUGAACCGCUUUUGUCAGGGAAGAAAAGGUUCUGGCUAAUACCUGGGACUCAUGACGGUACCUGAAGAAUAAGCACCGGCUAACUACGUG
This 477-nucleotide ribosomal RNA is filed under the name uncultured bacterium. RNAcentral describes it as "partial 16S ribosomal RNA". It matches the Rfam family "Bacterial small subunit ribosomal RNA", at positions 30 to 507 of the family's 1533-position model. The record is from RNAcentral.